AUUGAACGCUGGCGGCAUGCUUUACACAUGCAAGUCGAACGGUAACAGCACUUCGGUGGCUGACGAGUGGCGAACGGGUGAGUAAUACAUCGGAACGUGCCUAGUAGUGGGGGAUAACUACUCGAAAGAGUAGCUAAUACCGCAUGAGAUCUAAGGAUGAAAGCAGGGGACCUUCAGGCCUUGCGCUACUAGAGCGGCUGAUGGCAGAUUAGGUAGUUGGUGGGAUAAAAGCUUACCAAGCCGACGAUCUGUAGCUGGUCUGAGAGGACGACCAGCCACACUGGGACUGAGACACGGCCCAGACUCCUACGGGAGGCAGCAGUGGGGAAUUUUGGACAAUGGGCGCAAGCCUGAUCCAGCAAUGCCGCGUGCAGGAUGAAGGCCUUCGGGUUGUAAACUGCUUUUGUACGGAACGAAAAGCCCUCUUCUAAUACAGGAGGGUCAUGACGGUACCGGAAGAAUAAGCACCGGCUAACUACGUG
This 482-nucleotide ribosomal RNA is filed under the name uncultured bacterium. Its description in RNAcentral is "partial 16S ribosomal RNA". It matches the Rfam family "Bacterial small subunit ribosomal RNA", at positions 30 to 507 of the family's 1533-position model. The record is from RNAcentral.